This 482-nucleotide ribosomal RNA is filed under the name uncultured bacterium. RNAcentral's name for it is "partial 16S ribosomal RNA". It matches the Rfam family "Bacterial small subunit ribosomal RNA", at positions 28 to 507 of the family's 1533-position model. The record is from RNAcentral.
GACGAACGCUGGCGGCGUGCUUAACACAUGCAAGUCGAACGCUGAAGCUCAGCUUUUGUUGGGUGGAUGAGUGGCGAACGGGUGAGUAACACGUGAGUAACCUGCCCCUUCUUUGGGAUAACGCCCGGAAACGGGUGCUAAUACUGGAUAUUCACUGGUCUUCGCAUGGGGGUUGGUGGAAAGGGUUUUUCUGGUGGGGGAUGGGCUCGCGGCCUAUCAGCUUGUUGGUGGGGUGAUGGCCUACCAAGGCUUUGACGGGUAGCCGGCCUGAGAGGGUGACCGGUCACAUUGGGACUGAGAUACGGCCCAGACUCCUACGGGAGGCAGCAGUGGGGAAUAUUGCACAAUGGGCGCAAGCCUGAUGCAGCGACGCCGCGUGAGGGAUGGAGGCCUUCGGGUUGUGAACCUCUUUCGCUCAUGGUCAAGCCGCAACAAUGGUUGUGGUGAGGGUAGUGGGUAAAGAAGCGCCGGCUAACUACGUG